Molecule: ribosomal RNA, 253 nt
Filed under: uncultured bacterium
Lineage: Bacteria
Description: partial 16S ribosomal RNA
Rfam family: Bacterial small subunit ribosomal RNA
Source: RNAcentral
UACGUAGGGGGCAAGCGUUGUCCGGAUUUAUUGGGCGUAAAGAGCGUGUAGGCGGUUUGGUAGGUCCGCUGUGAAAACUCGAGGCUCAACCUCGAGACGCCGGUGGAAACCAUCAGGCUAGAGUCCGGAAGAGGAGAGUGGAAUUCCUGGUGUAGCGGUGAAAUGCGCAGAUAUCAGGAAGGACACCCGUGGCGAAGGCGGCUCUCUGGGACGGUACUGACGCUGAGACGCGAAAGCGUGGGGAGCGAACAGG